RNA transcript from Tripterygium wilfordii, 818 nucleotides. It is a transcript of the gene named hexokinase-1-like, with no coding region annotated. Lineage: Eukaryota; Viridiplantae; Streptophyta; Magnoliopsida; Celastrales; Celastraceae. The transcript has 3 exons. The record is from RefSeq and is a predicted model, not a curated record.
CUCCCUCAUUUCGUUUCUCUGAAAAACACUAGCUUUGUUUCGAUUGAUUUUUUAUUUUUGGAAAUUCUGUAUGUAUGUAUCCAGCAAGCAAGACCGUAAUUGGAAAUAAAUUUGUGAAACUUUCUCAAUUUGGAAGUCAAAUUAAGAUAAGCAAACUACUAAUAUCUGUGUUUCUUGGAUUCAAGAGAAGCGUGAAGGAGCGAUUUCUUCAUUUCAGUUUGUCAUUGAGUUUCUUAUUGGUGGUGGUGGUGGUGGUGAUGGGGAAGGCGGCAGUGGUUUGUGCUGCCGUGGCGUGUGCAGUGGCGACGCUAUAUGUGCGGCACAGGAUGAGGAGCUCGGGGAAAUGGGCGACGACUAUGGCGAUUCUAAAAGAGUUCGAGGAGAAGUGUGAGACCCCCAUCUCGAAGCUGCGGAAGGUGGCCGACGCCAUGGCUGUCGAGAUGCAUGUCGGUCUUGCAUCGGAGGGUGGCAGUAAGCUCAAGAUGCUGAUAUCCUAUGUUGAUAAUCUUUUUACUGUCGUUUGAUUUGAUCUUUUGGAUUGGGGUUAUUGUGAAUUUCUUAUCAAAAGAUGGAUUCUUGAUUUACAAUCCACGUUUUCUGAGCUAAUCUUUCUCAGGCUAACGAGUUCUCAAUUUCACUUACUCUGGGUAGGAGGUUGGGGGUACUGGGUAUCUGUGGCAGUGGCAGGAUGAGGAAGGACUGUUUUAUGCACUGGACCUUGGUGGCAUAAACUUUCGUGUCCUGUGUGUACAGUUGGGUGGGAAAGAAGGACGUGUCGUCAAACAGGAAUUUGAGGAAGUUUCAAUUCCUCCACAUUU